GGGACAGUGCGGCAUGCCUAUACAUGCAGUCGAACGAACUCUGGUAUUGAUUGGUGCUUGCAUCAUGAUUUACAUUUGAGUGAGUGGCGAACUGGUGAGUAACACGUGGGAAACCUGCCCAGAAGCGGGGGAUAACACCUGGAAACAGAUGCUAAUACCGCAUAACAACUUGGACCGCAUGGUCCGAGUUUGAAAGAUGGCUUCGGCUAUCACUUUUGGAUGGUCCCGCGGCGUAUUAGCUAGAUGGUGGGGUAACGGCUCACCAUGGCAAUGAUACGUAGCCGACCUGAGAGGGUAAUCGGCCACAUUGGGACUGAGACACGGCCCAAACUCCUACGGGAGGCAGCAGUAGGGAAUCUUCCACAAUGGACGAAAGUCUGAUGGAGCAACGCCGCGUGAGUGAAGAAGGGUUUCGGCUCGUAAAACUCUGUUGUUAAAGAAGAACAUAUCUGAGAGUAACUGUUCAGGUAUUGACGGUAUUUAACCAGAAAGCCACGGCUAACUACGUGCCAGCAGCCGCGGUAAUACGUAGGUGGCAAGCGUUGUCCGGAUUUAUUGGGCGUAAAGCGAGCGCAGGCGGUUUUUUAAGUCUGAUGUGAAAGCCUUCGGCUCAACCGAAGAAGUGCAUCGGAAACUGGGAAACUUGAGUGCAGAAGAGGACAGUGGAACUCCAUGUGUAGCGGUGAAAUGCGUAGAUAUAUGGAAGAACACCAGUGGCGAAGGCGGCUGUCUGGUCUGUAACUGACGCUGAGGCUCGAAAGUAUGGGUAGCAAACAGGAUUAGAUACCCUGGUAGUCCAUACCGUAAACGAUGAAUGCUAAGUGUUGGAAGGGUUUCCGCCCUUCAGUGCUGCAGCUAACGCAUUAAGCAUUCCGCCUGGGGAGUACGGCCGCAAGGCUGAAACUCAAAGGAAUUGACGGGGGCCCGCACAAGCGGUGGAGCAUGUGGUUUAAUUCGAAGCUACGCGAAGAACCUUACCAGGUCUUGACAUACUAUGCAAAUCUAAGAAGAUUAGACGUUCCCUUCGGGGACAUGGAUACAGGUGGUGGAAGGGUUGUCGUCAGCUCCUGUCCUGAGAAAGUUUGGGGUUAAAUCCCCCCACCAAGGGCACCCCUUAUUAUCAUUUGCCACCAUUAAAUUGGGCACUCUGGUGAGAAUGCCGGUGAAAACCCAAGGAAA
Molecule: ribosomal RNA, 1179 nt
Filed under: Lactiplantibacillus plantarum
Lineage: Bacteria; Bacillati; Bacillota; Bacilli; Lactobacillales; Lactobacillaceae
Description: bacterial SSU rRNA
Rfam family: Bacterial small subunit ribosomal RNA
Source: RNAcentral